This is a small nuclear RNA of Jaculus jaculus (lesser Egyptian jerboa), 108 nucleotides long. The record is from Ensembl. Lineage: Eukaryota; Metazoa; Chordata; Mammalia; Rodentia; Dipodidae.
GUGCUUAUUUCAGCAGAACAUAUACUGAAAUUGGACAGAUACAGAGAAGAUGAGCAUGGCUCCUCCAAAAGGAUGACUCCAAAAAUUCAUGAAGUGGUUCAUAAUUUU